UUACGUGAUGACAAAAGGCCAUUGGCCUGAAUAAUCCCAGCUCUUCGAAUGCCUCACACAUACAACGCUUAGAGUGCAUACUGAGAUAACGUCCCAUCUGACCAU
RNAcentral lists this small nucleolar RNA (105 nucleotides) under Drechmeria coniospora. RNAcentral's name for it is "A. fumigatus snoRNA Afu_304". It matches the Rfam family "A. fumigatus snoRNA Afu_304". The record is from Rfam by way of RNAcentral. Lineage: Eukaryota; Fungi; Ascomycota; Sordariomycetes; Hypocreales; Ophiocordycipitaceae.